RNAcentral lists this ribosomal RNA (558 nucleotides) under uncultured Bacteroidota bacterium. Its description in RNAcentral is "bacterial SSU rRNA". It matches the Rfam family "Bacterial small subunit ribosomal RNA", at positions 8 to 564 of the family's 1533-position model. Lineage: Bacteria; Pseudomonadati; Bacteroidota. The record is from RNAcentral.
AGAGUUUGAUCCUGGCUCAGGAUGAACGCUAGCGGCAGGCCUAAUACAUGCAAGUCGAACGAGAUUUUAUCUUUCGGGAUAAAUGACAGUGGCGCACGGGUGCGUAACGCGUAUGCAACCUACCCUUAACUGGGGGAUAGCCCGGAGAAAUUCGGAUUAAUACCCCAUAGUAUCACCAGAUGGCAUCUGAAGGUGAUUAAAGAUUUAUUGGUUAAGGAUGGGCAUGCGUGACAUUAGCUAGUUGGUGAGGUAACGGCUCACCAAGGCAACGAUGUCUAGGGGUUCUGAGAGGAUGAUCCCCCACACUGGUACUGAGAUACGGACCAGACUCCUACGGGAGGCAGCAGUAGGGAAUAUUGGUCAAUGGGCGAGAGCCUGAACCAGCCAUGCCGCGUGUAGGAAGACGGCCUUCUGGGUUGUAAACUACUUUUAUACAGGAACAAAAAGGCCAUGCGUGGCAAACUGAGUGUACUGUACGAAUAAGCACCGGCUAACUCCGUGCCAGCAGCCGCGGUAAUACGGAGGGUGCAAGCGUUGUUCGGAUUUAUUGGGUUUAAA